UACGUAGGGUGCGAGCGUUAAUCGGAAUUACUGGGCGUAAAGUGUGCGCAGGCGGCCGAGCAAGUCGAGUGUGAAAGCCCCGAGCUUAACUUGGGAACUGCGCUCGAAACUACUUGGCUAGAGUGUGGCAGAGGGAGGUGGAAUUCCACGUGUAGCGGUGAAAUGCGUAGAGAUGUGGAGGAACACCGAUGGCGAAGGCAGCCCCCUGGGUCGACACUGACGCUCAGGCACGAAAGCGUGGGGAGCAAACAGG
RNAcentral lists this ribosomal RNA (253 nucleotides) under uncultured bacterium. Its description in RNAcentral is "partial 16S ribosomal RNA". It matches the Rfam family "Bacterial small subunit ribosomal RNA", at positions 524 to 776 of the family's 1533-position model. The record is from RNAcentral.